UACGUAGGGUGCGAGCGUUAAUCGGAAUUACUGGGCGUAAAGCGUGCGCAGGCGGUUCGUUGUGUCGGCGGUGAAAGCCCCGGGCUUAACCUGGGAAUGGCCGUCGAAACUGGCGAACUGGAGUGUGGCAGAGGGGGUGGAAUUCCGCGUGUAGCAGUGAAAUGCGUAGAGAUGCGGAGGAACACCGAUGGCGAAGGCAGCCCCCUGGGUCAAGAUUGACGCUCAUGCACGAAAGCGUGGGGAGCAAACAGG
RNAcentral lists this ribosomal RNA (252 nucleotides) under uncultured bacterium. RNAcentral's name for it is "partial 16S ribosomal RNA". It matches the Rfam family "Bacterial small subunit ribosomal RNA", at positions 524 to 776 of the family's 1533-position model. The record is from RNAcentral.